Molecule: long non-coding RNA, 2212 nt
Organism: Taeniopygia guttata (zebra finch)
Lineage: Eukaryota; Metazoa; Chordata; Aves; Passeriformes; Estrildidae
Source: Ensembl
AAUUUUUUAGGGGAAUUUUUGGGAUUUUUGGGGGUUUUGGAGGAUUUUUUGGGGUUUUUGGGAGGAUUUUGGGGGGAUUUGGGGUUUUUUGGGGGGAUUUUGGGGGGAUUUUUGGGUGAUUUUGGAGGAAUUUUGGGGGUUUUUGGAAGGAUUUUGGGGGAUUUGGGGGUUUUAGGGGAGAUUUUGGGGAGAUUUGGGGGAUUUUGAGGGGAUUUUGGAGGUUUUUGGGGAAUUUUGGGGAUUUUUUGGGAUUUUGGGGGGGAUUUGGGGAUUUUGAAGGGGAUUUUUGCGGGAAUUUUGGAUUUUUGGGGGGAAUUUGGGGAAUUUUGGGGGGAUUUUGGGGGGGGAGAGAAAAUUUGGGGAUUUUGGGGAAUUUUGGAGGAAUUUUGGGGUUUUUUAGGGGAUUUUUCCGGGAUUUUUCAGGGGAUUUUGGGGGGAUUUGGGGGAUUUUGGGGGGAAUUUUGGUUUUUUGGGGAAUUUUGGGAUUUUUUUGGGAAUUUUGGGAUUUUUUAGGGAUUUUUUUUGGUUUUUCUGAGAAUUUUGGAAUUUUCUGGGAUUUUUCUGGGAAUUUUUUGAUUUUUCGGGGAAUUUUGGGAUUUUUUGGGGCAGAUUUUUGGCAUUUCCCCCUCCCCCACCCCGGGGGGGCCGCUCAGGGUGGGGGAGGGGCCGCGGCCCCGCCCCUCCCCCGCCCCCGCCCCUCCCCCGCCCCUCCCCCCCCUCCUCCAGCCCAGCCCGGGACGGACCCGCGGCUCCCAGUUCCGACCAGUUCGGACCAGUUCGGACCAGUUUGGACCAGUUCAGACCAGUUUGGACCCCCCCAGGACCGGCCAGGAGCCCCCCGGACCCUCCCAGUUCAGACCAGUUUGGACCAGUUUGGACCAGUGACCUCCGAGGACCCUCCCAGUUCAUCCCAGUUUGGACCAGUUUGGACCAGCUCAUCCCGGUGGGCAUUGAGGACUCUCCCAGUUCGGACCAGUUCAUCCCAGUUUGGACCAGUUCAUCCCAGUUCAGACCAGUUUGGACCAGUUUGGACCACUGAUCUCUGAGGACCAUCCCAGUUUGGACCAGUUCAGACCAGUUCGGACCAGUUUGGACCAGUUUGAACCAGUUUGGACCAGUUUGGACCCACCCCAGGACCGGCCAGGAGACCCCCGGACCCUCCCAGUUCAUCCCAGUUUGGACCAGUUCACACCAGUUUGGACCAGUUCAUCCCAGUUUGGACCAGUGACCUCCAAGGACCUUCCCAGUUCAUCCCAGUUUGGACCAGUUCAGACCAGUUUGGACCAGCUCAUCCCGGUGGGCAUCGAGGACUCUCCCAGUUCGGACCAGUUUGGACCAGUUUGGACCAGUUUGGACCAGUUUGGACCCCCCAGCACUGGCAAGGAACCCCCCGGACCCUCCCAGUUCAUCCCAGUUUGUCCCAGUCCCUCCCAGUCCCCUCCCAGUCCCCUCCCAGUACAAACCAGUAACCCCAAACCCCCUUUUUACCUCUCCCAGUCCCUCCCAGUCCCUCCCAGUUUAUCCCAGUUCCCUCCCAGUCCAUCCCAGUCCCCUCCAAUCCCCUCCCAGUCCCUCCCAGUAUAAACCAGUAACUCCAAACCCCCUUUUCACCCCUCCCAGUCCCUCCCAAACCCCUCCCAGUACAAACCAGUAACCCCAAACCUCUUCCCAGUCCCUCCCAAUCCCCUCCCAGUACAAACCAGUAUAAACCAGUAACCCCAAACCCCCUCCCAGUCCCUCCCAGUCCCCUCCAAUCCCCUCCCAGUCCCCUCCCAGUAUAAACCAGUAACCCCAAACCCUCUCCCAGUCCCUCCCAGUACAAACCAGUCCCUCCCAGUUCCUCCCAGUCCCUCCCAGUUUGUCCCAGUCCCCUCCCAGUACAAACCAGUAACCCCAAACCCCGUUUUUACUCCCCCCAAUUUAUCCCAGUCCCUCCCAGUUCCCUCCCAGUCCCUCCCAGUUUGUCCCAGUCCCACCCAAUCCCUCCCAAACCCCUCCCAGUAUAAACCAGUAACCCCAAACCUCUUCCCAGUUCCUCCCAGUUUGUCCCAGUCCCUCCCAGUACAAACCAGUAACCCCAAACCCCCUUUUUACCCCUCCCAGUCCCUCCCAGUCCCUCCCAGUUUGUCCCAGUCCCCUCCCAGUCCAUCCCAGUCCCCUCCAAUCCCCUCCCAGCCCCUCCCAGUACAAACCAGUAACCCCAAACCCCCUU